GAUGAACGCUAGCGAUAGGCUUAACACAUGCAAGUCGAGGGGCAGCACCAGGUAGCUUGCUCUCUGGGUGGCGACCGGCGCACGGGUGCGUGACGCGUAUGCAACUUGCCCUAUACAGGAGGAUAACCCGUCGAAAGCCGGACUACUACUGCGUAUGCUCACAACUAGGCAUCAAGUGGUGAGGAAAGAAAUUCGGUAUAGGAUAGGCAUGCGUCCCAUUAGCUUGUUGGUGAGGUAACGGCUCACCAAGGCAACGAUGGGUAGGGGAACGGAGAGGUUUACACACCACACCGGUAAUGAGACACGGACCAGACUCCUACGGGAGGCAGCAGUAAGGAAUAUUGGUCAAUGGGCGCGAGCCGGAACCAGCCAAGUCGCGUGAAGGAUGACUGUCUUAUGGAUUGUAAACUUCUUUUAUACGGGAAGAACAAGAGUAACGUGUGACUCCCUGCAUGUACCGUAUGAAUAAGCAUCGGCUAACUCCGUG
This 487-nucleotide ribosomal RNA is filed under the name uncultured bacterium. RNAcentral's name for it is "partial 16S ribosomal RNA". It matches the Rfam family "Bacterial small subunit ribosomal RNA", at positions 28 to 507 of the family's 1533-position model. The record is from RNAcentral.